Molecule: long non-coding RNA, 282 nt
Organism: Telopea speciosissima
Lineage: Eukaryota; Viridiplantae; Streptophyta; Magnoliopsida; Proteales; Proteaceae
Exons: 3
Source: RefSeq, a predicted model, not a curated record
GAUGUUUCAUUGGAUGUAGAAGACCCACAUUCCAUAUUCUCAAGCACAGGUCGGCCCCUAGGGAAAUGUGAACUUUUGCAUCUCGAAAUGAGAGAAAGGAAUCAAGCACAUCGGUGUGUGCUAGUCCAUUACAAAGGAAUAAAUGAAUACCAAUAACUCCACCUGAAAGAAAUCAAAAGGCAGUUAGGUCGUAACUCUCGUCCCAAGAAGGUUAUGGAUUUGCAUGAUAGGGACUUUCCAAAAUGGUUCAAUGAGCAUAUAUUGAAACUCCGGCAAAAUGGG